GAAGGCGAAGGUGACGCCCGUCAGGCACAGCAGCAGGAACACGCGCCGCUGGAAGCGCCCGAACUCGCCGGCCCUCUGCAGCGCCUCGUCGAAGGAGGGCAUGGUGCGCGCGGCCGGCCGCCGCCGGGCCCGACUCCGAACACAAAGGUGCCUCUUCCUGGCAUUUCACUACCCUGCGCCUCCCUGUUCACUGCCCAGCAAGGACCCGGGGAUAGCACCCAGUUCGUGAAGGCUCCCCCACCACCAUGACUGCCUUCCUUCCCAGAUUUGUGAUCCAAGCCUAGGCUUCACACAGAUGUACCCUGAUGCUGCCAAAGGGGGCUUUAUGAAAUGUGAGUUCUCAGGCAUAAGUACAACCAGGAGCUCUAUGACGCUGGAAAUCUUCCAAGAAUUCUUGAGCCCAUUACAAGUUGUCCUUUCUGGGGGCAGGCACCUGAUAUCCAGGACUGAGAGGGGGGCCUGGGGGGCCUGACUCAUGACUGUACUGUCUCCUCUGAACUUCUUCACUCUCCCCUACCUUCUAUCUUGAAAAUACACUUGGCUGUUGGAAUAUUUUAUUUUAAAAAAAUGUAAUUAAAAUAAUAGAUGCACAUGAAAGAAAAUUAAAUUAUACAGGAGGGAAUAUGGGGAAAUAGCAAUCUCCCAUAUGACCCGUCCAAGUCCCCCAGAAUUGACCAUUUUUAAUGAUUUCCAUUUUAGCGCUACUAGAAAUUGCCACUGUAAUGUGCAACUAUUUCUUGUUUAGAAAACCUUGACAGAAUCCAUUGACCCUCUUCUGCAAAAAAUAAAGUAUUCCUUUACCAUAAUCCUCUAAGUAUUUUAUGACUACAGAAAAAUUUGUAAUUUUUCCUAUUUAAAUAAAGUUAUUUAUCUCCAUUCCUUGUCCUAAAAUUCUGAACAGCAUCUCCUGGCUCAACCACAGAAGAAUAUUGGCAUCCUUCCAUCCCUAACUUUCAC
Long non-coding RNA from Nyctereutes procyonoides (raccoon dog), 957 nucleotides. RefSeq lists it as uncharacterized. The record is from RefSeq and is a predicted model, not a curated record. The transcript has 3 exons. Lineage: Eukaryota; Metazoa; Chordata; Mammalia; Carnivora; Canidae.